Long non-coding RNA from Notechis scutatus (mainland tiger snake), 461 nucleotides. RefSeq lists it as uncharacterized. The record is from RefSeq and is a predicted model, not a curated record. NCBI's taxonomy places the organism in Eukaryota, Metazoa, Chordata, Lepidosauria, Squamata, Elapidae.
AAGGCAGCUUUUGGUCGCCCUUCUUCCCCAUCCCACUUCUUUUCCCGGGUGCAAAAGUCCACCGAGACCCUAUUUAUUUAUUUAAAAAAAAAAAAAAGGGGGGGGGGGAAGAAAAGGAAAAAAAAAAAAACUCGUCCGCCGCGGAAGUUCCUCCAAGAGCCGUUUUGCAAAGCGCCCCUCCGCAAGAAUCCCAGGCCAAAGCUCUCUGGGAAGCUGACUCAAACCUUCUGACUCGGUUUGCAGAAGUUGCUCAUCCCGCGAAGCCAAUCGUUGCUGAACGAGGCCAACGGUUGCUGACCUCUGCUUUGCUGAACACAACCACCACACAGGCUGAGUGCACCCAGGAACUAGGCCUCCCACCUUUCAUCCCAGCAGGUUCUGCAAACCCACCAUCCAAAUCCACGUUACCAGGGGAAGAACCGAGUUUCGGGUUGGCCUAUAACUUUAAGCAUGAAGCUUUU